GGUGAACGCUCGCGGCAGGCCUAAUACAUGCAAGUCGAACGAGAUUAAGAGGCUUGCUUCUUAUGAAAGUGGCGCACGGGUGCGUAACGCGUAUGCAACCUACCUUAAUCAGGGGGAUAGCCCGAAGAAAUUCGGAUUAAGACCGCAUAAAAACACAGGAUAGCAUUAUCCAAUGUUCAAAUAUUUAUAGGAUUAAGAUGGGCAUGCGUGUCAUUAGCUAGUUGGCGGGGUAACGGCCCACCAAGGCGACGAUGACUAGGGGAUCUGAGAGGAUGACCCCCCACACUGGUACUGAGACACGGACCAGACUCCUACGGGAGGCAGCAGUAAGGAAUAUUGGUCAAUGGAGGGAACUCUGAACCAGCCAUGCCGCGUGCAGGAAGACAGCCCUCUGGGUCGUAAACUGCUUUUAUUCGGGAAUAAACCUUUCUACGUGUAGGAAGCUGAAUGUACCGAAGGAAUAAGGAUCGGCUAACUCCGUG
Molecule: ribosomal RNA, 482 nt
Filed under: uncultured bacterium
Lineage: Bacteria
Description: partial 16S ribosomal RNA
Rfam family: Bacterial small subunit ribosomal RNA
Source: RNAcentral